GCCAGACUCCUACGGGAGGCAGCAGUGGGGAAUAUUGGGCAAUGGGCGCAAGCCUGACCCAGCAACGCCGCGUGAAGGAGGAAGGCUUUCGGGUUGUAAACUUCUUUUAAGAGGGACGAAACAAAUGACGGUACCUCUUGAAUAAGCCACGGCUAACUACGUGCCAGCAGCCGCGGUAAUACGUAGGUGGCAAGCGUUAUCCGGAUUUAUUGGGUGUAAAGGGCGUGUAGGCGGGAAAGCAAGUCAGAUGUGAAAACUAUGGGCUCAACCCAUAGCCUGCAUUUGAAACUGUUUUUCUUGAGUGCUGGAGAGGCAAUCGGAAUUCCGUGUGUAGCGGUGAAAUGCGUAGAUAUACGGAGGAACACCAGUGGCGAAGGCGGAUUGCUGGACGACAACUGACGGUGAGGCGCGAAAGCGUGGGGAGCAAACAGGAUUAGAUACCCCCGUAC
This 449-nucleotide ribosomal RNA is filed under the name uncultured bacterium. RNAcentral's name for it is "bacterial SSU rRNA". It matches the Rfam family "Bacterial small subunit ribosomal RNA", at positions 330 to 793 of the family's 1533-position model. The record is from RNAcentral.